GUGGAGUUGGGACAGGGCAUGGUAAGGUAGUGACACAGCCCAUCAUAAGUGCCUAUUGGGGGAGGGACGAGGGUGUAGGAGGGCUGCA
Molecule: long non-coding RNA, 88 nt
Organism: Myripristis murdjan (pinecone soldierfish)
Lineage: Eukaryota; Metazoa; Chordata; Actinopteri; Holocentriformes; Holocentridae
Exons: 3
Source: RefSeq, a predicted model, not a curated record